AAGGUUUUAAGUUAACAAAACUAUUAACCUUCAAAGUUAAAAUUAUAAAAUUUAUUAUAAGCCUUA
Molecule: transfer RNA, 66 nt
Filed under: Mahanarva spectabilis
Lineage: Eukaryota; Metazoa; Arthropoda; Insecta; Hemiptera; Cercopidae
Description: tRNA-Trp
Source: RNAcentral